UACAGAGGGUGCAAGCGUUGUUCGGAAUUAUUGGGCGUAAAGGGCGCGUAGGCGGUUCGGCAAGUCUCUAGUGAAAUCUCUGGGCUCAACCCAGAGCCUGCUGGGGAAACUGCCGGGCUGGAGUAUGGGAGAGGUGAGUGGAAUUCCUGGUGUAGCGGUGAAAUGCGUAGAUAUCAGGAGGAACACCUGUGGCGAAAGCGGCUCACUGGACCAUCACUGACGCUGAGGCGCGAAAGCUAGGGGAGCAAACAGG
This 253-nucleotide ribosomal RNA is filed under the name uncultured prokaryote. RNAcentral describes it as "partial 16S ribosomal RNA". It matches the Rfam family "Bacterial small subunit ribosomal RNA", at positions 524 to 776 of the family's 1533-position model. The record is from RNAcentral.